AUUACAGAAGCGUGCAGUUCUGUAGGAAGUUCUUUUUGAUAAGGGGGAGGCGAGGGCCGAAGGCCCGAGAAAAUUUUUAAAUUUAGAGUCUCUGAAAUGCCAUUUCGUGGACUUUGGGGGAAGUUUUGACAGAAUUCUGAUGGUCAGAAUACAGAGUUUUAGCACGUCGAAAUCUACAAUUAAUUUGCUUACAAUUUAGAAGAACUAA
Molecule: long non-coding RNA, 208 nt
Filed under: Paramuricea clavata
Lineage: Eukaryota; Metazoa; Cnidaria; Anthozoa; Malacalcyonacea; Plexauridae
Source: RNAcentral